UCGAUGGAUCCGAUUGCCGCUUGAUUAUUGGUUGACCAAUAAUUCAAGAGGAAAGUCCGGGCUCCGUAGGGCAUGAUGCCGGGUAAUUCCCGGGCUUAUAAAAGACUUUCGUCUUUUAUAAGACAGACAGUGCAACAGAAAGUAUACCGCUACAUCGUAAAAUCCUAUGGAUUUUACGAUCAGUAAGGGUGAAAGGGUGGGGUAAGAGCCCACCGCAUAUCUGGUAACAGGUAUGGCACGGCAAACCUCAUCAGGAGCAAAGUUGAGCAACGGAAUGAAGGGCCCCUUCGUUACUCCGUGGGUAAACUGCGUUGACAGUAUUGGUAACAAUACUGCGAGAUAGAUGGCAAUCCUACGGUUUCGGUAUCCGAAACCGUUUGACAGAACCCGGCUUAUGGAUCCAUCGUUUUU
Molecule: RNase P RNA, 411 nt
Filed under: Gracilinema caldarium DSM 7334
Lineage: Bacteria; Pseudomonadati; Spirochaetota; Spirochaetia; Treponematales; Breznakiellaceae
Description: Spirochaeta caldaria DSM 7334 Bacterial RNase P class A
Rfam family: Bacterial RNase P class A
About the family: Ribonuclease P (RNase P) is a ubiquitous endoribonuclease, found in archaea, bacteria and eukarya as well as chloroplasts and mitochondria.
Source: Rfam by way of RNAcentral